CCCUUAGAUGUUCUGGGCUGCACGCGCGCUACACUGAAGCGUUCAACGAGUAUUUCACCUUGCCCGGGAGGGUUGGGUAAUCUUUUUAAAACGCUUCGUGAUGGGGAUAGAUUAUUGCAAUUAUUAAUCUUCAACGAGGAAUUCCUAGUAAGCGCGAGUCAUCAGCUCGUGCUGAUUACGUCCCUGCCCUUUGUACACACCGCCCGUCGCUCCUACCGAUUGGGUGAUCCGGUGAAUAAUUCGGACUGCAGCAGUGCUUGGUCCUCCGGGCUUUGCAGCGGAAAGUUUAGUGAACCUUAUCACUUAGAGGAAGGAGAANUCGUAACA
RNAcentral lists this ribosomal RNA (327 nucleotides) under uncultured eukaryote. RNAcentral's name for it is "partial 18S ribosomal RNA". It matches the Rfam family "Eukaryotic small subunit ribosomal RNA", at positions 1470 to 1796 of the family's 1831-position model. The record is from RNAcentral.